Molecule: non-coding RNA, 442 nt
Organism: Lupinus albus (white lupine)
Lineage: Eukaryota; Viridiplantae; Streptophyta; Magnoliopsida; Fabales; Fabaceae
Source: the annotation of a GenBank genome assembly
UCCUUAAACAUUACCCAUCUCAUCCCUAAACACAUAGCUUAACAUCUACUCUCCAACAUCGCCCCGGGCUGUCAGCUCACGGCUGGACUGCUACGGUAGUCUUCGGCGGCUCGUUAUGGCUCCUCCAUCGCUGCACACCGCACCUCAAAGCCUACACCAUAGCUGACCAUUGUAUUCAGCCUCGUCGACAACAUACAGACCCUGUUUUGGACGUCUUGGCCACUCCAGCCUGGCCAUGGUAAUGGCCGUGUAGUGGCGGCAGUUCCUGGACUCGCAGUCCGGGUAAGGAAGUUGACCUUCACCCUUUUUUUAUAUUUCAAUGCAUACAUGUGUAACUCUUUCAUGAUGUUGUUUGGUAUUAGCAUUAGGCUUAUGUUUUCUAUGUCGUGUUGUUUGGUUUGAUUUAUUUUUAGUGUAUUUAUGUUAUCCAUUUGGUUCUUUU